GAGCUUAGGUUAGACAAACCGGGGGCCUUCAAAACCCCAAACAGGGCCACCCCCUAGC
Molecule: transfer RNA, 58 nt
Filed under: Cyrtodactylus sp.
Lineage: Eukaryota; Metazoa; Chordata; Lepidosauria; Squamata; Gekkonidae
Description: tRNA-Trp
Source: RNAcentral